AGUGAACGUUGGCGGCGUGGAUUAGGCAUGCAAGUCGAGCGAGAACCGUAGCAAUACGGGGACAGCGGCGAAAGGGACAGUAAUGUGUAGGUACCUACCCCGAGGUCUGGGAUAGCUGCGGGAAACUGCAGGUAAUACCGGAUAAUGUCUUCGGACCAAAGGUGUGAUUCCACCUUGGGAGGGGCCUGCAUCCUAUUAGCUAGUUGGCGGGGUAAUGGCCCACCAAGGCAACGAUGGGUAGCGGGUGUGAGAGCACGACCCGCGUCAUUGGGACUGAGAUACUGCCCAGACACCUACGGGAGGCAG
Molecule: ribosomal RNA, 306 nt
Filed under: uncultured Planctomycetota bacterium
Lineage: Bacteria; Pseudomonadati; Planctomycetota
Description: bacterial SSU rRNA
Rfam family: Bacterial small subunit ribosomal RNA
Source: RNAcentral